GACGAACGCUGGCGGCGUGCUUAACACAUGCAAGUCGAACGGAAAGGCCCUGCUUUUGUGGGGUGCUCGAGUGGCGAACGGGUGAGUAACACGUGAGUAACCUGCCCUUGACUUUGGGAUAACUUCAGGAAACUGGGGCUAAUACCGGAUAGGAGCUCCUGCUGCAUGGUGGGGGUUGGAAAGUUUCGGCGGUUGGGGAUGGACUCGCGGCUUAUCAGCUUGUUGGUGGGGUAGUGGCUUACCAAGGCUUUGACGGGUAGCCGGCCUGAGAGGGUGACCGGCCACAUUGGGACUGAGAUACGGCCCAGACUCCUACGGGAGGCAGCAGUGGGGAAUAUUGCACAAUGGGCGGAAGCCUGACGCAGCAACUCCGCGUGCGGGAUGACGGCCUUCGGGUUGUAAACCGCUUUCGCCUGUGACGAAGCGUGAGUGACGGUAAUGGGUAAAGAAGCACCGGCUAACUACGUG
Molecule: ribosomal RNA, 468 nt
Filed under: uncultured bacterium
Lineage: Bacteria
Description: partial 16S ribosomal RNA
Rfam family: Bacterial small subunit ribosomal RNA
Source: RNAcentral